Otolemur garnettii (small-eared galago) is the source of this 104-nucleotide small nucleolar RNA. The record is from Ensembl. Lineage: Eukaryota; Metazoa; Chordata; Mammalia; Primates; Galagidae.
ACGCUCUCAGGGUUCAUAAGGCUGAUGCUUGGGUUUGCAUGCUCGUAUGUGAGAUGUGCCACCCUCAAGCCUUUUUAUGAUGUUGGCACAUUAUCCAUCUGGUG